This 465-nucleotide ribosomal RNA is filed under the name uncultured bacterium. RNAcentral describes it as "partial 16S ribosomal RNA". It matches the Rfam family "Bacterial small subunit ribosomal RNA", at positions 338 to 795 of the family's 1533-position model. The record is from RNAcentral.
CCUACGGGAGGCAGCAGUGGGGAAUAUUGCGCAAUGGGCGAAAGCCUGACGCAGCGACGCCGCGUGAGGGAUGAAGGUCUUCGGAUCGUAAACCUCUGUCAGCAGGGAAGAACGGUCACUGUGCUAAUCAGCAGUGAAUUGACGGUACCUGCAAAGGAAGCACCGGCUAACUCCGUGCCAGCAGCCGAGGUAAUACGGAGGGUGCGAGCGUUAAUCGGACUUACUGGGCGUAAAGCGCUCGUAGGCGGUAUGUCAAGGCAAGGGUGAAAUCCCCGCGCUCAACGUGGGAACUGCCUUUGAAACUGGCAGACUGGAGUUUGUGAGAGGAUAGUGGAAUUCCAGGUGUAGGAGUGAAAUCCGUAGAUAUCUCGAGGAACAUCAGUGGCGAAGGCGACUAUCUGGCACAUAACUGACGCUGAGGAGCGAAAGCGUGGGUAGCAAACAGGAUUAGAUACCCUUGUAGUC